GACGAACGCUGGCGGCGUGCCUAAUACAUGCAAGUAGAACGCACAGUUUAUACCGUAGCUUGCUACACCAUAGACUGUGAGUUGCGAACGGGUGAGUAACGCGUAGGUAACCUGCCUGGUAGCGGGGGAUAACUAUUGGAAACGAUAGCUAAUACCGCAUAAUAUUGAUUAUUGCAUGAUAUUUAAUUGAAAGGUGCAAUUGCACCACUACCAGAUGGACCUGCGUUGUAUUAGCUAGUAGGUGAGGUAACGGCUCACCUAGGCGACGAUACAUAGCCGACCUGAGAGGGUGAUCGGCCACACUGGGACUGAGACACGGCCCAGACUCCUACGGGAGGCAGCAGUAGGGAAUCUUCGGCAAUGGACGAAAGUCUGACCGAGCAACGCCGCGUGAGUGAAGAAGGUUUUCGGAUCGUAAAGCUCUGUUGUAAGAGAAGAACGGGUGUGAGAGUGGAAAGUUCACACUGUGACGGUAUCUUACCAGAAAGGGACGGCUAACUACGUG
RNAcentral lists this ribosomal RNA (505 nucleotides) under uncultured bacterium. RNAcentral describes it as "partial 16S ribosomal RNA". It matches the Rfam family "Bacterial small subunit ribosomal RNA", at positions 28 to 507 of the family's 1533-position model. The record is from RNAcentral.